RNAcentral lists this ribosomal RNA (253 nucleotides) under uncultured bacterium. RNAcentral describes it as "partial 16S ribosomal RNA". It matches the Rfam family "Bacterial small subunit ribosomal RNA", at positions 524 to 776 of the family's 1533-position model. The record is from RNAcentral.
UACGUAGGGUGCGAGCGUUGUCCGGAAUUACUGGGCGUAAAGAGCUCGUAGGUGGUUUGUCGCGUUGUUCGUGAAAACUCACAACUCAAUUGUGGGCGUGCGGGCGAUACGGGCAGACUGGAGUACUGCAGGGGAGACUGGAAUUCCUGGUGUAGCGGUGGAACGCGCAGAUAUCAGGAGGAACACCGGUGGCGAAGGCGGGUCUCUGGGCAGUAACUGACGCUGAGAAGCGAAAGCGUGGGGAGCGAACAGG